GAUGAGGCGGCACCGUUACGGNGACCGUCACACCAUCGGCAUGCUGCCCAGAUGGGAUUAGCUAGUAGGUGAGGUAAUGGCUCACCUAGGCGACGAUCCCUAGNUGGUCUGAGAGGAUGACCAGCCACACUGGAACUGAGACACGGUCCAGACUCCUACGGGAGGCAGCAGUGGGGAAUAUUGCACAAUGGGCGCAAGCCUGAUGCAGCCAUGCCGCGUGUGUGAAGAAGGCCUUCGGGUUGUAAAGCACUUUCAGCGAGGAGGAAGGGUUCGGUGUUAAUAGCACCGUUCAUUGACGUUACUCGCAGAAGAAGCACCGGCUAACUCCGUGCCAGCAGCCGCGGUAAUACGGAGGGUGCAAGCGUUAAUCGGAAUUACUGGGCGUAAAGCGCACGCAGGCGGUUUGUUAAGUCAGAUGUGAAAUCCCCGAGCUUAACUUGGGAACUGCAUUUGAAACUGGCAAGCUAGAGUCUUGUAGAGGGGGGUAGAAUUCCAGGUGUAGCGGUGAAAUGCGUANAGAUCUGGAGGAAUACCGGUGGCGAANGCGGCCCCCUGGACAAAGACUGACGCUCAGGUGCGAAAAGCGUGGGGAGCAAACAGG
Molecule: ribosomal RNA, 601 nt
Filed under: Serratia sp. (in: enterobacteria)
Lineage: Bacteria; Pseudomonadati; Pseudomonadota; Gammaproteobacteria; Enterobacterales; Yersiniaceae
Description: bacterial SSU rRNA
Rfam family: Bacterial small subunit ribosomal RNA
Source: RNAcentral